GAUGAACGCUGGCGGCGUGCCUAAUACAUGCAAGUCGAGCGAAAAGACGCGGAGCUUGCUCCUUCGACGUUAGCGGCGGACGGGUGAGUAACACGUAGGUAACCUACCUAUAAGACUGGGAUAACUUCGGGAAACCGGAGCUAAUACCGGAUAAUAUUUCGAACCGCAUGGUUCGAUAGUGAGAGAUGGCUUUGCUAUCACUAAUAGAUGGACCUGCGCCGUAUUAGCUAGUUGGUAAGGUAACGGCUUACUAAGGCAACGAUACGUAGCCGACCUGAGUGGGGGAUCGGCCACACUGGAACUGAGACACGGUCCAGACUCCUACGGGAGGCAGCAGUAGGGAAUCUUCGGCAGUGGGCGAGAGCCUUACGGAACAACGCCGCGUGAGUGAUGGAGGUCUUCGGAUCGUAAAACUCUGUUAUGAGGUAAGAACAAACUUGGAAGUAACUGUGCACUUCUUGACGGUACCUAGUCAGAAAGCCACGGCUAACUACGUG
RNAcentral lists this ribosomal RNA (497 nucleotides) under uncultured bacterium. Its description in RNAcentral is "partial 16S ribosomal RNA". It matches the Rfam family "Bacterial small subunit ribosomal RNA", at positions 28 to 507 of the family's 1533-position model. The record is from RNAcentral.